Phyllostomus discolor (pale spear-nosed bat) is the source of this 103-nucleotide long non-coding RNA. RefSeq lists it as uncharacterized. NCBI's taxonomy places the organism in Eukaryota, Metazoa, Chordata, Mammalia, Chiroptera, Phyllostomidae. The record is from RefSeq and is a predicted model, not a curated record. The transcript has 3 exons.
UGGAUGAAAAAAGCUGAGAGGAAACAGCAAGCUGUCAGCCUGAACACGGUGGAAAGCAGGGUCCCCAGGGGCAUGUGGGGAUGAGCGGCAUCCAGGCCAGUAG